Long non-coding RNA from Amphiprion ocellaris (clown anemonefish), 694 nucleotides. RefSeq lists it as uncharacterized. The transcript is spliced from 2 exons. Lineage: Eukaryota; Metazoa; Chordata; Actinopteri; Pomacentridae. The record is from RefSeq and is a predicted model, not a curated record.
AUUUAGCUCAUCAAAAUUCUAAAAACCAGUUAAAAAUUCAAUGUCUUCAAAAUUCGCCAUCAAAAAAUUCAGUGUUCAAAAUUCGCCAUCAAAAAAUUCAAUGUUAAAAAAUUCGCUGUCAAAAAAUUCGCUGUUCACAUCUGGGGGACUCAGGCGUAAACAAUCGAUCCUGGCCAAAAUCGAACCAAUGCCCAGCCAAUCACGUGGCGCUCCUCCGGUCAUGUGACGCAGACGGUUCACCUCAUAAGACCGGGGUCAACCACGGCUACCAGCAUGAACGACGGCGCUUCAAUGCACAAUGAGGGACGUCUGCAGAGACUGAGAAAGAGUCUCACCAAAUCCUGACAUGAGGAAAAAGACUUUAUUGAAGACUGCAAUGAGAAAAACUAUCAGACAGCAGACGGCUGCAUUCAAGGUGAGCUCUGAACAUUUGAUGUGGAACAGGAAUUCAACAACGGCAGCAUGAGCUUCAUUUCAGUCUGUAGCUGCUGAAUUCAUGGAUGAAUCAUCUGGCACUAGAGAAGAAGACCAUCAAACAUCCACGUCAGCUGAUGGAGGUCCAAGAGUCUCACCAAACAAACAACCUACAGAGUGAAGACCUCAAAUCUGAUUGGACGGCCUCCUAUUCAGCCACGUGUGAACAAAUGCCUCUAAGCUGAUUUGUUUUCUAAAAUAAAUCUAGUUUGUGUCCUAA